Molecule: long non-coding RNA, 1126 nt
Organism: Oreochromis niloticus (Nile tilapia)
Lineage: Eukaryota; Metazoa; Chordata; Actinopteri; Cichliformes; Cichlidae
Exons: 3
Source: RefSeq, a predicted model, not a curated record
UUGUCACUUCGCUCUCAGACACAGAGACAAUCACUCUGGACACACACAUUCCUUCAGGGACAUAGCGAUUAUCCUCAGAAGAGAUCUACUUGUUCGUACUGGAUUCUCCCAGAGGAGGAUUUCUCGACUGAAAAGAGAAGAGAGAAGAGAAGAGAAGACACUCAGCAUCUCCAGUCCAGUCCGGAUUUGAGCUACAGGGACUCUCCGGACUUAUUUGUGAAAAUUAUCAUUAGUUUCAGCUCCUGAAACCAGCUGCCACCUAACUAUGAGGAUAUUCAACCUGCUCUACCUUCUCAUGCUGCUCGCAGUCAUGGCAGCAUCGGUCUCCUCUGCCAAGCCAGAUUUCUUGAACCUGAGGAAAAAAUACCACAGACACCACUGCCCACACAGACGCUGCCUGCCUCUGCACUCCAGAGUACCCUUCCCUUGAGGUCAGAAGAACUGCAAUGGGGAAGACUCGAGGAGAGAAAUGUGAAUAUGGACUGCAGUUUGUGGCACAAACAUCAUGGCUGGAGCCCAGGAAAGAAGGGGAGAUAUGGGACUCCACAAAGAUGCCACCCACAGACUUUAAUGUACAUGUAUCUGCUUCUGCAGCAAGAAUCUGAAUCUUCAUCAAACCAUGAAAAGCUACAACAGCCGGGCAACCACAGAGCUGGGCUUGGCCAGUUUCGAGCUCCUUCCAAAUGAUAGAACGGGGAAAACAGGAUGCGAGCGUUUAGUCAAUAUCAUCAAGUAUGUUCAACAAUCGACUUAAAAAGCUGCGGACCAAAGAGCUAUAAAUACCUUUAGUAUAGCUACAAAUUGUUUAUAUUGUAUGCACUUCAGAUGUUUAUUGAAUUACUUUUUAAUAAAAACAAAAAAAGAAAACUGUGUUUUGAUUGUGAGUGUGGUAAAAAUGCAAUGCACUACAUCCAGAUUACACUUAACAAAACAUAUUUUUUUAAAAAAAGAAAUAAAUAAAACUUAAAGGCCCCGGGUCAAAAGGGGGAUCCUGCUACCUGAAGGCCUCCUAUUAAAUCUGCACUCUCAUUUGAAGCCACACGGGAAAGCCCUUGUAAAUACUGCGCUCCCUGUGGAGUUACGGAUGCCGGAGCAUAAAGGAGACACAAUGGGGAACAAACACCAA